UCAUAUGCGGUUUCGGCCGUGUAUAAGGAUAGUCUGUGGAAGGCUCAUUAUAACAGUUAUACUCCUAUCCACUGGAAAGUUUACAAGGAUACCACCGUUAACUGCAGCGAUAAUACUUGUUCCCUUCGGGGUGGUAAUAGUAUUUGUGCUGAAGCCUAGCUAUUGUAACCUAGUUUUUCGGGUGUGGCAACAUAUUCAGGGGAUUAGGAAUCGACCGCUANCAAGUGCCUUCGGGCGCGGGAAAGUGAAUUAACAAGGUUUUCAUAAGGCCUUUCAGGUUUGCUUUUUCUAGUGGCCAGGCAGAGGAGUUUCUUACCUAUCAGCUCGUUGUUUGUUUAAAGGACAAACCAGGCUUUGACGGGUACGGGGAAUCAGUGUUCAAUUCCAGACAGGGAGCCUGAGAAAUCGCUACCACAUCUAAGGACGGCAGCAGGCGCGCAAAUUACCCAAUCUCAAUACGAGGAGGUAGUGACAAGCUAUACUGACUCCACACCAUUCGGUGGGGAGGUAUNNNCUUCUGACGAUUUUCCAUGAUUUGGGUGUAAUAACCCUUAGAGUAGCCAUU
This 565-nucleotide ribosomal RNA is filed under the name uncultured heterolobosean. Its description in RNAcentral is "SSU rRNA". It matches the Rfam family "Eukaryotic small subunit ribosomal RNA", at positions 53 to 549 of the family's 1831-position model. Lineage: Eukaryota; Heterolobosea. The record is from RNAcentral.